UCCUACGGGGCGCAGCAGUGGGGAAUAUUGCACAAUGGGGGAAACCCUGAUGCAGCGACGCCGCGUGAGUGAAGAAGUAUCUCGGUACGUAAAGCUCUAUCAGCAGGGAAGAAAAAAAGUCUUUGGCUUUGGACGGUACCUGACUAAGAAGCCCCGGCUAACUACGUGCCAGCAGCCGCGGUAAUACGUAGGGGGCAAGCGUUAUCCGGAUUUACUGGGUGUAAAGGGAGCGUAGACGGCAGCGCAAGGCGGGAGUGAAAUGCCGGGGCUCAACGCCGGGACUGCGUUGGAAACUGUGCAGCUAG
RNAcentral lists this ribosomal RNA (305 nucleotides) under uncultured bacterium. RNAcentral describes it as "bacterial SSU rRNA". It matches the Rfam family "Bacterial small subunit ribosomal RNA", at positions 337 to 644 of the family's 1533-position model. The record is from RNAcentral.